CAUGAAGUUUCUAAUUUAAUUUUUACUCUUGUAGUAGAAUAGCACGUCAUUUUGAUCUUCUAUUUAUUCGCUUAUCUCUGUGAACUUCCUUUUCAUCUCAUUUUGUUUCUUUCAUCAUUUCAACUCUGGGUACUGACUUUAUUUACAUUUCUCUCCCUUUUUUUUCCAAGCAAAGUAACUUUGUGGCACAUGUCCUGCUCCUGCUGGGAUGCCUUCUAUUCCAUUUGCUUUUCUGUAGACUGAAGUGACAGGACAGGGAUGCAGAGAAGGAAGCUCAGCCCAGGCU
This 286-nucleotide long non-coding RNA is filed under the name Homo sapiens (human). RNAcentral describes it as "non-protein coding lnc-CCT5-26:1". The record is from RNAcentral. Lineage: Eukaryota; Metazoa; Chordata; Mammalia; Primates; Hominidae.